Long non-coding RNA from Scleropages formosus (Asian bonytongue), 673 nucleotides. RefSeq lists it as uncharacterized. The transcript has 3 exons. NCBI's taxonomy places the organism in Eukaryota, Metazoa, Chordata, Actinopteri, Osteoglossiformes, Osteoglossidae. The record is from RefSeq and is a predicted model, not a curated record.
GAAUCUGCUGGCCUCCAGAUGGUGCUUAAAGAGUAAUUAACUAUCACAACAGUGUAUUUGUUACCUCAUGAUGUGCAAGCUAAACAAACCACAAUAAGUAACAGAAUGCUUAUAAUGAAUAUGGAACCAAACAGUUCAUCAUUGGCACUCUAGUUGCCCGAUGGGAAAACUUCCCUGCUGCUUUAUGUACUCAAGGCCUUGACACAACAACAUUGAGUUUACAACUCUAUAACCAAAGCCACAACCCUACCAGCUGUCCUGCUUUUUAUGUUGCUUCUUUAGGUCAACCCCGUGGGAUUCUGUUACUGCUUGUGAUGAAGCCCUGGCUGAGGACAUGAUGGAUGUGGCGUGUCUCGGCAGAACUUAUCCACGACUAGCAUUCUGUGUUGCUAAAAGCGUUGAGCUUAUAUAAAAGUAGGCUGGACAGACUCGGGAAAUCCAGAGGGAUGCCUGAUCCGAGAGAGUGAGGAAGAGAGAGACUCAGACCCAGAAGUCUCGACGACCCGCACCGACCGCACAACACGGCACAACCCAAAGAAGAGAGCACCGCCCCCCUUUCACAGUUUCCCUUCACUGACGCACCGCACAUGUGAUAUAAAAGAAUCUUUCCGCCUACCGGAAACAUCCAGCACAUUAGUGCCACAAUAUAAUAAAAGCUCCACAACAUUUUUAA